CCUACGGGAGGCUGCAGUGGGGAAUACUGCACAAUGGGCGCAAGCCUGAUGCAGCCAUGCCGCGUGUGUGAAGAAGGCCUUCGGGUUGUAAAGCACUUUCAGCGGGGAGGAAGGCGUUAAGGUUAAUAACCUUGUCGAUUGACGUUACCCGCAGAAGAAGCACCGGCUAACUCCGUGCCAGCAGCCGCGGUAAUACGGAGGGUGCAAGCGUUAAUCGGAAUUACUGGGCGUAAAGCGCACGCAGGCGGUCUGUCAAGUCGGAUGUGAAAUCCCCGGGGUCAACCUGGGAACUGCAUUCGAAACUGGCAGGCUAGAGUCUUGUAGAGGGGGGUAGAAUUCCAGGUGUAGCGGUGAAAUGCGUAGAGAUCUGGAGGAAUACCGGUGGCGAAGGCGGCCCCCUGGACAAAGACUGACGCUCAGGUGCGAAAGCGUGGGGAGCAAACAGGAUUAGAUACCCCUGUAGUC
This 465-nucleotide ribosomal RNA is filed under the name uncultured Klebsiella sp. RNAcentral's name for it is "bacterial SSU rRNA". It matches the Rfam family "Bacterial small subunit ribosomal RNA", at positions 338 to 795 of the family's 1533-position model. The record is from RNAcentral. Lineage: Bacteria; Pseudomonadati; Pseudomonadota; Gammaproteobacteria; Enterobacterales; Enterobacteriaceae.